This is a non-coding RNA of Aegilops tauschii subsp. strangulata, 447 nucleotides long. The record is from RefSeq and is a predicted model, not a curated record. NCBI's taxonomy places the organism in Eukaryota, Viridiplantae, Streptophyta, Magnoliopsida, Poales, Poaceae.
GCAAAAUGAUGUUGUUGCUAAGGCAUUCAAGAAUGCUCCAAAUAAUAAUCAAAUGUUGUCUCCCAAAAUUCAGAGAGAUAUUACCGAGUGCUUUGCAAAAGAAGUACUAGGCCAUGUGAUGAAAGAAAUUGGUAAUGGUGUGUUCAGCUUAUUAGUUGAUGAGUGUAGGGAUGUUUCCGACAAAGAACAAAUGGCGGUUGUUCUCCGAUAUCUUGAUAAGUGUGGACUGGUCCAAGAGAAGUUUGUUGGUGUUGUUCAUGUGGAGGAGAUAACAUCUUCUUAUCUCAAGUCUUGCAUAGAUUUAUUAUUUUCACAACUUGGGCUGAAUCUUGAACAAGUUAGAGGCCAAGGUUACGAUGGAGCAAGUAAUAUGUCUGAUAUUCGAGGUCGGAGAUUUCUUUGAUAUGGUUUCAGUUUUGCUGAAUGUCGUGGGCGCGUCUUGCAAGA